Molecule: long non-coding RNA, 408 nt
Filed under: Nicotiana benthamiana
Lineage: Eukaryota; Viridiplantae; Streptophyta; Magnoliopsida; Solanales; Solanaceae
Description: long non-coding RNA (NBEN_LNC041172)
Source: RNAcentral
AGAUAUAUAAGGCCUGUUGUUGCUGAUGUUGCUGUGGUUGCCAAAUGUCAUUUAAGUGCUCUCUAUAGGCAUGAAAAAGGAAAACUUUUUGCCCAGCUGGUUGACUUACUUCAGUUCUAUGAAGGGUUUGAAAUUGAUGACCAUUUAGGGAGACAAAUGACUGAUGAUGAAGUGGUUCAGGCUCAUUAUGAUCGUUUCCAGUCAUUCCAGCUCCUUGCAUUUAAGAAGAUACCCAAGGUCUGUUUUGAUUUCUGUUCUUUUUGAUGAUGAUGAGCUGCUCGCUUCAGUUCUAUGAAGGUUUUGAAAUUGAUGACCAUUUAGGGAGACAAAUGACUGAUGAUGAAGUGGUUCAGGCUCACUAUGACCGUUUCCAGUCAUUCCAGCUCCUUGCAUUUAAGAAGAUACCUA